UACGAAGGGGGCUAGCGUUGUUCGGAAUUACUGGGCGUAAAGCGUGCGCAGGCGGCUUUGCAAGACAGAUGUGAAAUCCCCGGGCUCAACCUGGGAACUGCAUUUGUGACUGCAUCGCUGGAGUGCGGCAGAGGGGGAUGGAAUUCCGCGUGUAGCAGUGAAAUGCGUAGAUAUGCGGAGGAACACCGAUGGCGAAGGCAAUCCCCUGGGCCUGCACUGACGCUCAUGCACGAAAGCGUGGGGAGCAAACAGG
Molecule: ribosomal RNA, 253 nt
Filed under: uncultured bacterium
Lineage: Bacteria
Description: partial 16S ribosomal RNA
Rfam family: Bacterial small subunit ribosomal RNA
Source: RNAcentral